Molecule: ribosomal RNA, 984 nt
Filed under: Triticum aestivum (bread wheat)
Lineage: Eukaryota; Viridiplantae; Streptophyta; Magnoliopsida; Poales; Poaceae
Description: partial small subunit ribosomal RNA
Source: RNAcentral
AUGUCAGAGUCGUGUAGGUCGUGUCGGUGGCCGCGGCGAACAUGUCCUGAUAAUGGCCUUGAUGCCGACCGUGUCGAACCGGACACCCCCGGAGUCUUCUCCAUCGUCCUCGCUGACGUCCAGCAGCACGUCCACGAAGUCCCGGUGAUCGUCCUCCCCGUCGCCAACGAGCCGCCGUCCUCUGCCGAGACGCCGCUGGCGGUGGUCGGAGAUGACCCGCUCGAGGAGCCCGUCCAUCACCUUGCGCGCCCGUGCCACCUUGGCGUCCAGCCCCAUGAGCGUAUCCACCCACGCCAGCCACGGGACGAACUCCCCCACCGUGGCCGAGCCCAGCAGCUCCUCGAACUCGGCGAACACCUCCGUCAGGUCGUCGUCGAUCCCGUACCCGCCAUCGUCGCCGAACGCGGCCCGCGAGAUGACGGCGCUGGUGUAGGAUAUGAGCUCGUCGGUCAGGUUCACGACGUUAUCCUCGGGCCGCGAGCAGCAGGCGGCAGCGCGCUGGACGCGGUCGACCAGGGCGCCGGCCUCCUGCUCCCGGACGCGGCGGAAGGAGGCCACGCGGCGGGCGCUGAGGAGGUGGAGCACGCACACGCGGCGCGCCUGCCGCCAGUACUGCCCGUAGGGGGCGAAGGCCAUGUCGCGGCCGUACAGGAGGCGCUCCGCCAUGCGCACCGCGGGGCGGCUGGCGAAGGCCAGGUCGUGGGUCUUCAUGACCUCCAGCGCCGCGUCCGCCGAGGAGGCCACGACGGUGGGCACGCCGCCGAGGCGCAGGAGCAUGACGGGGCCGUGCGCCUCGGCCAGGGACCGGAGCUUCCGGUGCGGCAGGGAACCGAGAAGAGGGAGGUGGCCAAGGACGGGAAUGCCCCAUGGCGACGGAGGCAGGCGCGCGCCGCCAUUGCUGCGGGAUGGACCAGGCUUCUCGGUGAGGAAGAGGAGGAAAGAGACGAAGAUCGGCACGAGCAGGGUGAGGAGGAGCAGGGGUGA